Molecule: unclassified non-coding RNA, 254 nt
Rfam family: Eukaryotic small subunit ribosomal RNA (bases 1-46)
AAGUCGUAACAAGGUUUCCGUAGGUGAACCUGCGGAAGGAUCAUUACCGAGUUCAUGCCCUUCGGGGUAGAUCUCCCACCCUUUGUUUACUAUACUAUGUUGCUUUGGCGGACCGCCUGAUCGCCCCUCGGGGUCUUCAGCUACCGGCUUCGGCUGGUACGUGUCCGCCAGAGGACCCAAAACCCUGAAUAUUAGUGUCGUCUGAGUAAAAAGUUUAAUAUUUAAAACUUUCAACAACGGAUCUCUUGGUUCUC